RNAcentral lists this transfer-messenger RNA (343 nucleotides) under Minutocellus polymorphus. RNAcentral describes it as "partial transfer-messenger RNA". It matches the Rfam family "transfer-messenger RNA", at positions 1 to 330 of the family's 374-position model. Rfam says of the family: Bacterial tmRNA, also known as 10Sa RNA or SsrA, is named for its dual tRNA and mRNA-like properties. Its role is to liberate the mRNA from a stalled ribosome. The record is from RNAcentral. Lineage: Eukaryota; Bacillariophyta; Thalassiosirophyceae; Cymatosirales; Cymatosiraceae.
GGGGCUGCCUUGGUUUCGACAUUUAAGGAUUGUUAAAGUAUGAUGCAGGUCGAAGUUGGUAUUCUUCGUAAAAAGGCCAAAAAUUAAAAUAAAUGCUAACAGUAUUAUCUCUUUUAUCUUCAAAGCAUUAACUAAUAUUAUUAAACCACAACGCGCUGCGUUAAGCUACGCUGUUUAAAUUAAUUUAAAUAUUAGUUUAUUAGUUUUAAAUAAUUCUCUUUGUUCACUAUAACUAGACUUUUUUCUUGUUCAUAGUUUAGACUAACUUUAAUUAUUAUAACUUGUUCAAGUUUUUGAACUAAACCUGUGAAUGAGUACGUUAAUGAAAUUUAGAUGGACGUGG